UACGUAGGGUGCGAGCGUUGUCCGGAAUUACUGGGCGUAAAGGGCUCGUAGGCGGCCAACUAAGUCAGACGUGAAAUCCCUCGGCUUAACCGGGGAACUGCAUCUGAUACUGGAUGGCUUGAGAUUGGGAGAGGGAUGCGGAAUUCCAGGUGUAGCGGUGAAAUGCGUAGAUAUCUGGAGGAACACCGGUGGCGAAGGCGGCAUCCUGGACCAACACUGACGCUGAGGAGCGAAAGCCAGGGGAGCAAACGGG
RNAcentral lists this ribosomal RNA (253 nucleotides) under uncultured bacterium. RNAcentral's name for it is "partial 16S ribosomal RNA". It matches the Rfam family "Bacterial small subunit ribosomal RNA", at positions 524 to 776 of the family's 1533-position model. The record is from RNAcentral.